AUCCAGCUCGGGGUCGCACUUUACUCCUCUCCCUGGUCAAACCGGAUUAAAGAAAAGAAGAGGAAAAAAAAUAACAAUGGAGCAAAGUUAGCAAGACAGCGCACUAAAAAGCUCCCACGAAAGAGGUCUGAAGUCGCUUUAGUUUUUUUGUCUUCGCUGAAUGGUAACAAGUUGUUUUGUUUCCUCCAGCUUCCACGGCUGGUGCCGCGUUAGCUAGCCGGCAGUGAGUGCGGGGCACACGGCUCGGAGCUCGGAGCAGAGCCGCCUUCCUUCUAGGGAGGGUCGAUGAGGUGCAGCCAGAGGACGCAGUCAACCAAUCACGGCUGCCUGUUUUACUCUUAACCCCCACCUUCCCCUCUUCCCUUCCUUCGCCGAGGCUCAAAUUACACCUGAAUGUGCAGACUUGUUCGAGGCCGACCGAGUUUUCGCGACCCACAACGUGGAAGUUCAGUCCACCGCCAGGGCGGACAGGACAAGUCUGGUUAGUGGCUAACAUCACAGCAGUAACCUCAGCGUGAAACAGAAGGGAAACAGUGUCCCGUCUCCACAGAGAGGACAUUAACACAGAGGACGCCAUCGCUUGUUUCAGGACUGCAACAUACAAGAUGUGAACACCACUUUAUGAAGGGACUGAGGCGGAGAAUGUGACAGAGACACUGAGUGACAGCGACUGACUCAUCCAGCUGGGCGCCACCUACACCUCAAUCAGCAGGUAGUCAAG
This is a long non-coding RNA of Mugil cephalus (flathead mullet), 721 nucleotides long. RefSeq lists it as uncharacterized. The transcript is spliced from 3 exons. The record is from RefSeq and is a predicted model, not a curated record. NCBI's taxonomy places the organism in Eukaryota, Metazoa, Chordata, Actinopteri, Mugiliformes, Mugilidae.